RNAcentral lists this ribosomal RNA (753 nucleotides) under Bacillus amyloliquefaciens. RNAcentral's name for it is "bacterial SSU rRNA". It matches the Rfam family "Bacterial small subunit ribosomal RNA", at positions 49 to 784 of the family's 1533-position model. The record is from RNAcentral. Lineage: Bacteria; Bacillati; Bacillota; Bacilli; Caryophanales; Bacillaceae.
CUAUACAUGCAAGUCGAGCGGACAGAUGGGAGCUUGCUCCCUGAUGUUAGCGGCGGACGGGUGAGUAACACGUGGGUAACCUGCCUGUAAGACUGGGAUAACUCCGGGAAACCGGGGCUAAUACCGGAUGGUUGUCUGAACCGCAUGGUUCAGACAUAAAAGGUGGCUUCGGCUACCACUUACAGAUGGACCCGCGGCGCAUUAGCUAGUUGGUGAGGUAACGGCUCACCAAGGCGACGAUGCGUAGCCGACCUGAGAGGGUGAUCGGCCACACUGGGACUGAGACACGGCCCAGACUCCUACGGGAGGCAGCAGUAGGGAAUCUUCCGCAAUGGACGAAAGUCUGACGGAGCAACGCCGCGUGAGUGAUGAAGGUUUUCGGAUCGUAAAGCUCUGUUGUUAGGGAAGAACAAGUGCCGUUCAAAUAGGGCGGCACCUUGACGGUACCUAACCAGAAAGCCACGGCUAACUACGUGCCAGCAGCCGCGGUAAUACGUAGGUGGCAAGCGUUGUCCGGAAUUAUUGGGCGUAAAGGGCUCGCAGGCGGUUUCUUAAGUCUGAUGUGAAAGCCCCCGGCUCAACCGGGGAGGGUCAUUGGAAACUGGGGAACUUGAGUGCAGAAGAGGAGAGUGGAAUUCCACGUGUAGCGGUGAAAUGCGUAGAGAUGUGGAGGAACACCAGUGGCGAAGGCGACUCUCUGGUCUGUAACUGACGCUGAGGAGCGAAAGCGUGGGGAGCGAACAGGAUUAGAUA